This 77-nucleotide transfer RNA is filed under the name Pseudomonadales bacterium. Its description in RNAcentral is "tRNA-Arg". It matches the Rfam family "tRNA". From Rfam's summary of the family: Transfer RNA (tRNA) molecules are approximately 80 nucleotides in length. Their secondary structure includes four short double-helical elements and three loops (D, anti-codon, and T loops). Lineage: Bacteria; Pseudomonadati; Pseudomonadota; Gammaproteobacteria; Pseudomonadales. The record is from RNAcentral. RNAcentral also lists the same sequence under 2 other names.
CCGCCCAUAGCUCAGCUGGAUAGAGCACCAGGCUUCGAACCUGGGUGUCGGGAGUUCGAAUCUCUCUGGGCGGACCA